AUGCUGCUGGCAGUGCUCCUGGCCACGGCCGCCUGCUCUUAUGGAUAUGCACAAAAAAUUCCUGUGCAGAGUCCUGUGUCCAUCACCAGGUCCCAAAAAAGUGUGCGGAUGACCUGUGAAAUCAAAAGUUUAGGGGGAAAUUUUGAUAGCACCGUCAUACACUGGUACCUGCAGAAGGAGGGGAGAGCUCCAGAGCGGCUGCUGUACUUUACAGGAGGGCAAGCUUCCUUUGACAGUGGCUUUCAUCCAAACAGGUACAUGGUUGAAAAAGUUUCUGGCCAGAACCGGUGUGUUCUUACAAUAAAAGAUGUAACUCCAGAGGACGCUGCUACCUACUACUGUGCCUACUGGGAUCGGACGAGCUGGAUCAAAUACUUCGGCACGGGAACCAAGCUCAUCAUCUCUC
Non-coding RNA from Merops nubicus (carmine bee-eater), 406 nucleotides. Lineage: Eukaryota; Metazoa; Chordata; Aves; Coraciiformes; Meropidae. The record is from the annotation of a RefSeq genome assembly.